Non-coding RNA from Chelmon rostratus (copperband butterflyfish), 513 nucleotides. The record is from the annotation of a RefSeq genome assembly. Lineage: Eukaryota; Metazoa; Chordata; Actinopteri; Chaetodontiformes; Chaetodontidae.
AUGAGCUCACUGGUUCUACUGCUGGCCACCCUGGGGCUCCUGGUUCAGGGUUCAUCAGGACAAAUCACCCUGACUCAGUCUCCUGAAUCUCAGUCUGUUGUUCCAGGACAGACUGUCUCCAUCAGAUGUAAAACCAGUUCAGAUGUUAGUAGCUCACUCCACUGGUACCUUCAGAAACCUGGAGAAGCUCCUAAACUCCUGAUUUAUUCAGCUACAAGCCGUCAGUCUGGAGUUCCAGGUCGUUUCAGUGGAAGUGGAUCUGGGACUGACUUCACUCUGACCAUCAGUGGAGUUCAGGCUGAAGAUUCAGGAGUUUACUACUGUCAGAGUGAUCACUAUAUGAACAGUCAGUGGUGGUUCACACCGUGAAAAAGAGUCGUACAAAAACUUCCCUCAGUCAGACUGAACAGAAACUGAACUGACUGCUGCAGCUGGAAGCUACAACAGAGACUGAUACACUUCACUGAGGACACACACACACACACACACACACACACACACACACACACACAC